GACGAACGCUGGCGGCGUGCUUAACACAUGCAAGUCGAACGGAAAGGCCCUGCUUUUGUGGGGUGCUCGAGUGGCGACCGGGUGAGUAACACGUGAGUAACCUGCCCUUGACUUUGGGAUAACUUCAGGAAACUGGGGCUAAUACCGGAUAGGAGCUCCUGCUACAUGGUGGGGGUUGGAAAGUUUCGGCGGUUGGGGAUGGACUCGCGGCUUAUCAGCUUGUUGGUGGGGUAGUGGAUUACCAAGGCUUUGACGGGUAGCAGGCCUGAGAGGGUGACCGGCCACGUUGGGACUGAGAUACGGCCCAGACUCCUACGGGAGGCAGCAGUGGGGAAUAUUGCACAAUGGGCGGAAGCCUGAUGCAGCAACGCCGCGUGCGGGAUGACGGCCUUCGGGUUGUAAACCGCUUUCGCCUGUGACGAAGCGUGAGUGACGGUAAUGGGUAAAGAAGCACCGGCUAACUACGUG
RNAcentral lists this ribosomal RNA (468 nucleotides) under uncultured bacterium. Its description in RNAcentral is "partial 16S ribosomal RNA". It matches the Rfam family "Bacterial small subunit ribosomal RNA", at positions 28 to 507 of the family's 1533-position model. The record is from RNAcentral.